GACGAACGCUGGCGGCGUGCUUAAUACAUGCAAGUCGAACGGAAAGGCCCUGCUUUUGUGGGGUGCUCGAGUGGCGAACGGGUGAGUAACACGUGAGUAACCUGCCCCUGACUUUGGGAUAACUUCAGGAAACUGGGGCUAAUAUCGGAUAGGAGCUCUUGCUGCACGGUGGGGGUUGGAAAGAUUCGGCGGUACUGGAUGGACUCGCGGCUUAUCAGCUUGUUAGUGAGGUAGUGGCUUACCAAGGUUUUGACGGGUAGCCGGCCUGAGAGCGUGACCGGCCACAUUGGGACUGAGGUACGGCCCAGACUGCUACGGGAGGCAACAGUGGGGAAUAUUGCACAAUGGGCGGAAGCCUGAUGCGGCAACGCCGCGUGCGGGAUGACGGCCUUCGGGUUGUAAACCGCUUUCGCCUGUGACGAGGCGUGAGUGACGGUAAUGGGUAAAGAAGCACCGGCUAACUACGUG
This 468-nucleotide ribosomal RNA is filed under the name uncultured bacterium. RNAcentral describes it as "partial 16S ribosomal RNA". It matches the Rfam family "Bacterial small subunit ribosomal RNA", at positions 28 to 507 of the family's 1533-position model. The record is from RNAcentral.